GGAAAAAGGGGAUGAAUUUGAGUCUUAGGUCGCAGGUUCAAGCCCACACCAUGCAAAGUGAAGCCUGAUAUUUAAGUGGAGAAGGGUAGAGGGGCGGGUCCAUUAUCCACUGAGUUUAGAAGGCUAUGAUUGGUCCAAAGGGUGGGCCACAGGCGGAUUUCUCGGUUAUCAAAACAAAAAAGGAAGAUCUCGCAGAGACUUUUGCGAACUCUAGAAGUUUUGAUGAUAGGCUCGCCAAUAGGGAUGGUAGUAUUUUCUUGAAUGACGGGCUCUUGAAGAUGAAGUGCAUUCUCCAAAUUCCAUAGCACCUCACCCAUAGAUGGCCUGUGCACCAGAUUCAGCUAAGUAUUUCACUGCGUUUCUCCAAAGUUGCUGAAGGAAUCUGGUCUUACUUCGCCCAGAAUGUCGGGAUAUAUGAUAUGUUCCAGUUGUCUUUUCUCCUGCAAAUGCAUUGCCCAGUCAGCUAAGUUGACCUGCUCCCUCGGAAGAGAUCGAUCUCGGGCAGGCCUAGCACUUUAACUUCGCAUAAAAUGGUUACCAUUGGAGGAAGAAGGAUGCUGAUGAAACUGUUAAAGAACUAUUAAAGACACUCACCAAAAGGUGAAGAUGUUUUUGAAAGUCUUGGAGCACCUUUGAAUGUUGCUAAACCCACAAAAGAUUCAAGUGUGGCUAUUUUUUGACUAGGAGCUGUAGGCCUUAUUGCUGCAGACGGAGCAAAAAUUGCUAGUGCUUCAAGGAUAAUUUGUGUCGAUUUAAAUGCUAGCUGAUUUCAGUAAGGUAAGAAAUUUUGUGUGACAAAGUUUGUGAACCCGAAGGAUUAAAGUAAACCAGGUCAAGAGGUAAUUGCUGAGAUGACUCAUUGCAAAUUCGAUCUGAGUGUGAAGUGUACUGGCCAUAUCUAUGCUAUGAUUUCAGCAUUUGAAUUGUCCAUGAUGUGUGGUAGUGGCUGUCCUUAUUGGUAUGUACCCCAUAAGGAAGCUGUGUUCAAGACACACUUUUGAACUUUUUAAUGGAAGUACUAUCAAAAUAACCUUCUUUGGAAACUGGACACCUCGUUCGGAUAUUCCUUCUUUUGUUGAGAAAUACAUGAAUAAGGAACUUGAAUUGGAGAAAUUCAUCACUCAUACACUUCCCAUACUAUGAAAUCGACAAGGCUUUUUGAAUUAAUGUUGAAGGGAGAAGGCAUUCAUUGCAUCAUCACCAUGGAGUGCUAAACUUACUAUCCUAGAAAAGGAGCUUCUAGCUAGUCGCUUUUAUUUGAGAAAAGACCAAGAAUUGGGUGGAACACUAUGAGAAGGAUCCGAAAGCUCCAAUGGCUAGACUAUUGAACAUGAUGUUUGAGAUUUUUAAAUGUUUUGUCUUUCUGAUGAACGAGGCAUCUUUUAAUCAUGGUGAAAGGGAAGCUCUAAGAUCUUGUAUAAAAGCUUUGAAUUUCUGGGCUACUGAGAUUUGGUGGGAGUUACAAGACUUCACCCUCAACAUAUUGAAAAGGAUUAUAGAUGAGCUCAUUAUCAACGUACCAUUGUUCCAGAAAUGGGCAUUAGUGCAGUAUGGAGAACUGUAGUAUUUAAGAUGGAGACUUUCAUCAACUGCUCCCUCAGAUGUCUGCCUAGUCUUCCUUCAGGAUUUUAAAUCUUCCGUCCUUCUGGUUAAAGAGGCAUUUAUUUAGAAUGGUUGUGUUCUUUUUUCAGAACAUUGGCUAAUCAGGAAAGCAACCCUUGUAUCAUCCACAGAGCUAGAAGCUUUGGGGUACUCAUCAGAUAUAUGCAACGGAAGCAGCUUCCAGACUUGGUAAACUGAUGAUGGAUGCCCUUAUUUUCAUGCAUAUGGAAUUGAGAAGAUCCUAUGGACCUGAAGAGUGGUUGCCCUCAAUGGAUCUGAUGGGAUAAGCUUAACUAGGCAGUGAAAGGACAUAGUUUGGUGGAUGGCUGUCAUACGGGAUGGUGAUGUUUGAAUAUUCACUGCUUGUAAACUUUAAAAUGUUGGAUGAUCUUCAAUUAUCGAGGCAAAUUUCCAUCGAAAGCUUGCAUAAUAAUCUUGCACAGACUGCCUCCAAGGCUUAGCUCGAGUGGAAGAAGGUGGUGUCGCAGGUUUGAGCCCCACACCAUGCAAAGUGAAGCCCGGAAUUUAAGUGGAGAGGGGUAGAGGGCGGGCCUAUUAUCCACUGAGUUUAGAAGGCUAUGAUUGGUCUAAAGAGCGGGUCACAGGCGGAUUUCUCGGUUAUAAAAAAAAAAGAAUCUUGCAGAGACUUUCAAGAACUCCAGAAGUUUUGAUGACUGGUGAUAGCUCGCCAAUAGGGAUGGUACUGUUUUCUUGAAUGACGGGCUCUUGGAGAUGAAGUGCAUUCUCCAAAUUCCUUAGCACCUCACCAAUAGAUGGAAUUUGCAUUUCACUGCGUUUCUCCAAACUUGCUGAAGGAAUCUGGUCUUACAUUGCCUAGAAGGUCGGGAUCUAUGAUAUGUUCCAUCUAUCUCUUCUCUUGCAAAUUCAUUGCCCAGUCAGCUAAGUUGACCUUCUCCCUCGGAAGAGAUCGAUCUCGGGCAGACCUAGCACAAAGAACUUCACAUAAAAUGGUCACCAAUGGAGGAAGAGGAAGGAUGGUGAAACUGUUUAAGACACUCACCAAAAGGUGAAGGCUGCAGACGGAGCAAAAAUUGCUAGUGCUUCAAGGAUAAUUUGUGUCGAUUUAAAUGCUAGCUGAUUUCAGUAAGCUAAGAAAUUUUGUGUGACAAAGUUUGUGAACUCGAAGGAUUAAAGUAAACCAGGUCAAGAGGUAAUUGCUGAGAUGACUGAUUGCAAAUUCGAUCUGAGUGUGAAGUGUACUGGCCAUAUUUAUGCUAUGAUUUCAGCAUUUGAAUUGUCCAUGAUGUGUGGUAGUGGCUGUCCUUAUUGGUAUGUACCCCAUAAGGAAGCUGUGUUCAAGACACACUUUUGAACUUUUUAAUGGAAGUACUAUCAAAGUAACCUUCUUUGGAAAUUUUACACCUCGUUCGGAUAUUCCUUCUUUUGUUGAGAAAUACAUGAAUAAGGAACUUGAAUUGGAGAAAUUCAUCACUCAUGCACUUCCCAUACUAUGAAAUCGACAAGGCUUUUUGAAUUAAUGUUGAAGGGAGAAGGCAUUCAUUGCAUCAUCACCAUGGAGUGCUAAACUUACUAUCCUAGAAAAGGAGCUUCUAGCUAGUCGCUUUUAUUUGAGAAAAGACCAAGAAUUGGGUGGAACACUAUGAGAAGGAUCCGAAAGCUCCAAUGGCUAGACUAUUGAACAUGAUGUUUGAGAUUUUUAAAUGUUUUGUCUUUCUGAUGAACGAGGCAUCUUUUAAUCAUGGUGAAAGGGAAGCUCUGAGAUCUUGUAUAAAAGCUUUGAAUUUCUGGGCUACUGAGAUUUGGUGGGAGUUACAAGUCUUCACCCUCAACAUAUUGAAAAGGAUUAUAGAUGAGCUCAUUAUCAACGUAUCAUUGUUCGAGAAAUGGGCAUUAGUGCAGUAUGGAGAACUGUAGUAUUUAAGAUGGAGACUUUCAUCAAAUGCUCCCUCAGAUGUCUGCCUAGUCUUCCUUCAGGAUUUUAAAUCUUCCGUCCUUCUGGUUAAAGAGGCAUUUAUUUAGAAUGGUUGUGUUCUUUUUUCAGAACAUUGGCUAAUCAGGAAAGCAACCCUUGUAUCAUCCACAGAGCUAGAAGCUUUGGGGUACUCAUCAGAUAUAUGCAACGGAAGCAGCUUCCAGACUUGGUAAACUGAUGAUGGAUGCCCUUAUUUUCAUGCAUAUGGAAUUGAGAAGAUCCUAUGGACCUGAAGAGUGGUUGCCCUCAAUGGAUCUGAUGGGAUAAGCUUGAACUAGGCAGUGAAAGGACAUAGCUUGGUGGAUGGCUGUCAUACGGGAUGGUGAUGUUUGAAUAUUCACUGCUUGUAAACUUGAAAAUGUUGGAUGAUCUUCAGUUAUCGAGGCAAAUUUCCAUCGAAAACUUGCAUAAUAAUCUUGCACAGACUGCCUCCAAGGCUUAGCUCGAGAGGAAGAAGGUGGUGUCGCAGGUUUGAGCCCCACACCAUGCAAAGUGAAGCCCGGAAUUUAAGUGGAGAGGGGUAGAGGGCGGGCCUAUUAUCCACUGAGUUUAGAAGGCUAUGAUUGGUCCAAAGAGCGGGUCACAGGCGGAUUUCUCGGUUAUAAAAAAAAAGAAUUGCAGAGACUUUCAAGAACUCCAGAAGUUUUGAUGACUGGUGAUAGCUCGCCAAUAGGGAUGAUACUGUCUUCUUGAAUGACGGGCUCUUGGAGAUGAAGUGCAUUCUCCAAAUUCCUUAGCACCUCACCCAUAGAUGGAAUGUGCAUUUCACUGCGUUUCUCCAAACUUGCUGAAGGAAUCUGGUCUUACAUUGCCCAGAAGGUCGGGAUCUAUGAUAUGUUCCAUGUAUCUCUUCUCUUGCAAAUUCAUUGCCCAGUCAGCUAAGUUGACCUUCUCCCUCGGAAGAGAUCGAUCUCGGGCAGACCUAGCACAAAGAACUUCACAUAAAAUGGUCACCAAUGGAGGAAGAAGAAGGAUGGUGAAACUGUUUAAGACACUCACCAAAAGGUGAAGAUGUUUUUGAAAGUCUUGGAGCACCUUUGAAUGUUGCUAAACCCACAAAAGAUUCAAGUGUGGCUAUUUUUUGACUAGGAGUUGUAGGCCUUAUUGCUGCAGACGGAGCAAAAAUUGCUAGUGCUUCAAGGAUAAUUUGUGUCGAUUUAAAUGCUAGCUGAUUUCAGUAAGCUAAGAAAUUUUGCGUGAAAAAGUUUGUGAACCCAAAGGAUUAAAGUAAACCAGGUCAAGAGGUACGAAUAUCUGCUUCUCCUAUUGGAUCAUUUUGCGAAAGAAGAAAAAGACAGAUGGUAACCCGCAGCCGCUACAACCUAUGCUACAGCAUCUGCCGUUCGGGUGACCACUUUGUGCGCACUGGGUAAACCCUCCACUGUGUAAUAGCCUGCAAACCACACAGGUAAUGUAAACCGCACUAAGCAAUCCCUAUGCGACAUGCUCGACUCAGAAGACAUUGAGGGGGAUCAAUCCCGGGUCAUCCGUGUGGAUAACCACCCGCCAUACUAACUAAGACAUCCCAAAGGGCUAAUUAAAAGUUACCAAUUAAAAAUGACUUGUGCCUAAUUUAGGCAUCCAUCACUUCCCUUCAAACGAAUAUGUACACUAAUAUUUUCGUUUUAGUCUAGGGGGGCACUUGUCCCUUAUACCAAUUGUAUUGAUAAAAAUUAGAUUAAAUCUUGAAUUUAAGUAUAUAGAUUCUAUACUAUAAUUUUUUAUUAUUAACAUAUUAUGACUAUUUAAAAAAUUAUUAUUGCACGAAGUGCGUGUCUCUCCUCCUCUCUUACGAAUUCGUUUUAAGAAUCGUCUAGGUGGAGGCAUCUCUUUGUGCUUGCUCGUCCUUGUUCAAGAUCAGACAACUCCCUUCAAAAAUUCUUGUACUAAUUCUUGGUUGUCAAAUCUUAUCGAAUUCAAAUUCCGCGAUUUUCAAUGGAAUUGUUAUUCGAAUUUGGACCUCAUUUUCCCUCUUCAAUCUUCCCUAUUUCUCUCUAUAUAUACUUUCCUUCCUUUAACGUUUUAGGGGAUUUUUUUGAACACUAAUUUAUCAUCUAAAAUAUAGAGCAUUUUCUUAAAAAGAUAUUAGCUACACAAACAUGUAUUAAGAGCUCAAAAAGGCUUAGGUUUUUUCUGCUCGAAUUAAUCGGAGCUCGACGGGAUUAGAUGAAGUUCCACUUGUGGUGUAGUCAUUGCUCUUCUCUCGUCCUCUCAGUCUCGCUGUCAGGGAAAAGGUAAAUGAUUCUUCUAUACUUUACAUAUUUAUUCUCUUUGUGAUGUAGAUGCUUAAAAUAAUAUGAAUCCCCAUUGUUUUCUUAAGAUUUCCGAUUUUAUCUAUUAUCUUGCUUGAAUAUUGAUAUAAAUUCCACCUCACAUGUCUAGUUUUUGGUCUGAUGUGUUUCUCUAAUUACUAUGCGGCAUAAGUGUGUUAAAGCUUUGCUUUGCGAUGAAGCUUGUUUGAAUAUGUGUUAUGAGUACAAUCUAGCUUAAAGUAAUAUAUUGUGGUCAAUAUUGUUCUUAAAUGAUUUAUUAUUGCAAUUGAAAGCUUAUCAUUUGCUUAUAAGUGAAGAAUUUUAUAUAUUUGAUAAUAUAGUAUAACUUACUUUUCAUACACACAAUUAGUUUUGGACUUGUGAUGAAGUAGCCACAACUCAUUUAAUCACUGUAGUUUGGUUUGUUUUGAAUAUAAUUAGGACUAGUUACUACUUUAAAAACAUGCAUAUUGUGGUUUGAUGGUAUGAUACUUUAGCUUUAAUUCAUGACCAUUUUGUUUGUUUAUUUGUUAAUCUCUUUGCUUGUGUUUGUUAAGUAUUAUGAAUUCUUCUUGCUCAUGAGCCUUUAUUUUCUCCAUUUAAUGAUUAGUAAUCUUUUUUUCUUAAUAAAGUUCCAACCCUUGCAUGAGUAGAUAUAUCAUAUUUACAUCUCCUAGUUGUAUUUUCCAAAAAUCGAUGCAAUAGUAAUUUAUUGUACCGAUUUUUGGAGAGUGUUACAACUAGGAGAUGCAAAUAUUUUCGUGUAUCUCAUGGAUCGAACAUGAUUUUUAUGUGAUUUUAUUUUUAUGCAUGUAAAUCUAAUCCAAGUCUAAUGGACUUCAUUUACUGCCUAUUCUUGAGUGUUCAAGUGAAAAAAUUGAAUUACAGGUUCCAAAAGCAAAAUACAGGUCUUGGAAAGCUGAAAAAUAAAUUGAUAUACGAUCCGUAUGCACUCAGUAUACGUUGAUAUACGGAUCGAGUGCAACAAAUACAGAGCCAAAAAAUGAAUACAUGUAUUGAAUGCUGUAUAUACACUUGGUAUACAAUCUGAUAUACAAAAAUAAGAACCAAAAUACAACUUGUAUACAAUGGUUUACAAUCAGUGUAUAUUCAGUCUUUUAGGCAUGAGAAUAGGCCAAGCCCAAUUUUUGUUUUGCACAGCAGCUCCAGGAGAAGCUAAUGGGCUGGAAUCCAUCUAUUUGUGGCUGACUCUUUUUUAGAGUUAGGACAUGUUGGGACAAAAGCCCAAAUUUUGACUUUA
Molecule: RNA transcript, 7069 nt
Organism: Solanum pennellii
Lineage: Eukaryota; Viridiplantae; Streptophyta; Magnoliopsida; Solanales; Solanaceae
Gene name: serine/threonine-protein kinase TOR-like
Exons: 25
Source: RefSeq, a predicted model, not a curated record